UACGUAGGGGGCGAGCGUUGUCCGGAGUUACUGGGCGUAAAGCGCACGCAGGCGGUCUGCUCAGUUUGGAGUGACAGUUGGUGGCUCAACCACCAAAGUGCUUCGAAAACUGACAGACUUGAGGGCUUCAGAGGGACACGGAAUUCCGGGUGGAGUGGUGAAAUGCGUAGAGAUCCGGAGGAACACCGAAGGCGAAGGCAGUGUCCUGGGGAGUACCUGACGCUCAGGUGCGAAAGCUAGGGGAGCGAACGGG
RNAcentral lists this ribosomal RNA (253 nucleotides) under uncultured bacterium. Its description in RNAcentral is "partial 16S ribosomal RNA". It matches the Rfam family "Bacterial small subunit ribosomal RNA", at positions 524 to 776 of the family's 1533-position model. The record is from RNAcentral.